This 184-nucleotide ribosomal RNA is filed under the name Centrophorus squamosus (leafscale gulper shark). RNAcentral's name for it is "partial 12S rRNA". Lineage: Eukaryota; Metazoa; Chordata; Chondrichthyes; Squaliformes; Centrophoridae. The record is from RNAcentral.
CACCGCGGUUAUACGAGUAACCCUUAUUAAUAUUUUUUCGGCGUAAAGAGUGGUUUAAGAAAAAUCCUUUAAAUAAUUAAAGUUAAGACCUCAUCAAGCUGUUAUACGCUCCCAUGAUUGGAAUAAUCGACAACGAAAGUGACUUUAUAAUAUUAGAAAUCUUGAUGCCACGACAGUUGGGCCC